ACGGAAGGCAGCAGUGGGGAAUAUUGCACAAUGGGGGAAACCCUGAUGCAGCAACGCCGCGUGAAGGAUGAAGGCCCUUGGGUCGUAAACUUCUGUUCUAAGGGAAGAUAGUGACGGUACCUUAGGAGCAAGUCCCGGCUAACUACGUGCCAGCAGCCGCGGUAAUACGUAGGGGGCAAGCGUUAUCCGGAAUUAUUGGGCGUAAAGAGUACGUAGGUGGUUUUCUAAGCGCAGGGUUUAAGGCAAUGGCUUAACCAUUGUUCGCCCUGUGAACUGGAUUACUUGAGUGCAGGAGAGGAAAGCGGAAUUCCUAGUGUAGCGGUGAAAUGCGUAGAUAUUAGGAGGAACACCAGUGGCGAAGGCGGCUUUCUGGACUGUAACUGACACUGAGGUACGAAAGCGUGGGGAGCAAACAGGAUUAGAUACCCUGGUA
RNAcentral lists this ribosomal RNA (433 nucleotides) under uncultured Anaerovorax sp. Its description in RNAcentral is "partial 16S ribosomal RNA". It matches the Rfam family "Bacterial small subunit ribosomal RNA", at positions 341 to 792 of the family's 1533-position model. Lineage: Bacteria; Bacillati; Bacillota; Clostridia; Peptostreptococcales; Anaerovoracaceae. The record is from RNAcentral.